CCUACGGGGGGCUGCAGUGGGGAAUAUUGGGCAAUGGGCGCAAGCCUGACCCAGCAACGCCGCGUGAAGGAAGAAGGCUUUCGGGUUGUGAACUUCUUUUCUGAGGGACGAAGAAAGUGACGGUACUUCAGGACUAAGCCACUGCUAACUACGUGCCAGCAGCCGCGGUAAUACGUAGGUGGCAAGCGUUAUCCGGAUUUAUUGGUUGUAAAGGGCGUGUAGGCGGGAAAGCAAGUCAGAUGUGAAAACUCAGGGCUCAACCCUGAGCCUGCAUUUGAAACUGUUUGUCUUGAGUGCUGGAGAGGCAAUCGGAAUUCCGUGUGUAGCGGUGAAAUGCGUAGAUAUACGGAGGAACACCAGUGGCGAAGGCGGAUUGCUGGACAGUAACUGACGCUGAGGCGCGAAAGCGUGGGGAGCAAACAGGAUUAGAUACCCUUGUAGUC
Molecule: ribosomal RNA, 443 nt
Filed under: uncultured bacterium
Lineage: Bacteria
Description: partial 16S ribosomal RNA
Rfam family: Bacterial small subunit ribosomal RNA
Source: RNAcentral